Long non-coding RNA from Triticum dicoccoides, 2305 nucleotides. RefSeq lists it as uncharacterized. The transcript is spliced from 4 exons. The record is from RefSeq and is a predicted model, not a curated record. Lineage: Eukaryota; Viridiplantae; Streptophyta; Magnoliopsida; Poales; Poaceae.
GUGCGCCUCCUCUCCCUUCCCCUCCCACGUGCCUCCUCUCCUCCUUCCCCGCCGCCGCCCGACCUCCUCCUUCCACCCCUCCAACCGGCUCCUCUUCGAUGGCCAGGGGUAGGGGGUAUAAAAAUCGGCCGCUCCCGUGACGGAGACCUAGCCGCCGCCUCUCUCCCACACUCGUGCAACUCCUCGCCUCUUCCUCCCGUCCCCACCUCCGGCCCACUCUCCCGCCUCGGUCUCCGGCCAAUUCCGGCCACUCCGCUGAGCUCUGACGCUGCCCAACACACACAAGGCUGCUCCUCGACGAGCUCUACUAGCUUCACCGCGUCGAUCUACUUCUCCUUGCCUCCUGCGGUCGCCCCCAUCGAUUUCCCCCACUAGGGUUUUGGUGGUGGAGGUAAACCUCGCCUCCAACGGCCGCCUGCUCGUUGCCCCGAUUUCUCGAUCCCCAUGGAUACGUCCCUAUAGGAGAGAAGAUGCGGAGGGAGGAUAGGAGGAGGUAGGCGCACUGGGGCGGGGGGUCUCGCCGGCGACGAUAGGGCUGGCCGGCCGGAGUUGGAUCGAGAUCCCGGCCCGCAUCGCUUCCUCGUUGUCAGGCCGCAUGCUGCUCCGCCCUUCCUCCUCCCCUCCCAUCGUUCCCCUCCCUAACCCUGGGAGUGGGCGAGGAGGCUGAGUCGCUGCCGCCGCUGGCCCUCCACACCUCCUGUUCGACCACGCCAAGGAAGCACUGGACCUUCAUCCUUGCAUCUGUGCGCCUCUGGGAAGAAGACUUGAGAUCUUCGGCCGUCUUCGACUAUGCUCGGAGAGGUGUCAUGGUAUGAGAGGAUACAGUGGGAUGGCUCCAUCUGCUAGACUGAUUGGUUCUGUUGUGCAGUCAUGCAUCUACAUGAUGGUCUGCCCAUUGGUUACACAUGUGAAAAGCGAGUGACGCAUAUCAAGUUGCUGGGACCUCAGGGCACAUUCAUCAGCUUGCCUCAAGUAUAUUGGGACCCGUUUGUGAUCUAUAUCAGGUGCACGAGCUCCGAUGUGGUUCCUCGCUGGUUGGACGGCGUUCAAGCGCAACCCCGGCGCGCACUGAGCACUGCCUCGGCUACAACCUCCCUCGGUGAGCUCCAUCUUGCUCCUGCUCCUCUGCUUCGUCUACUAUAUGGGACAUGGCCAUGGCUAUAUUGAUGUGGGGAUUGUCUGGUUGAUGCUCUAUGCCCUACUCAUGCAUCGGUUCCUACUUGAGCUUUGUAGUUGUGGAUCCAUGCCAUUUUAGGGUUUGCAGGCUGCUGUUCAUGUUUAGUUGCUAUCAUAUGAGCUCAUGUGAUGCUCUGGUUUACAUGUCGAUGCCCUGGUCCUAUAGCUAUGCUCCUGGAUUUGCUAGAUUGAUCAGUGGUGUUCGUGCCAGGGCAAUGAUAAUUAAUCGUGGCUGAAAUAAGUGUGCCUUUGAGCAAUCAUGGCACCUGUGCGUAUCAGGUUGGGUCCUCCCUCUUGUCCCUAGAAUCCUUUUUGAUCAUGUGAAUCUUGUUGUUGUCCUUGGAUGGUCAUUCUUGUUGAGUGAUAACCAGGGCAGCUCCACUGUAUAAACAGAUUGAUCUGGUGUUAAGAGAUGAUGGGGGUAGGUUAUAUGAUCGAGGAAAGGCGAAUCUGAGCCCAGUAUGCAAUGAACCCUGAACCCUUUCUAUUUGUUUUUAAAGGUGUUGCUUAUCCAGAAACAAGAACCAAAGCAGACCACAGACGCUCCCAGAGCUUAGGCACUCUCGGCCAUCCGAUCUAUUUCUUCAUGCGAUUCAAGCCAUCGGAUCUCGGGUUUGGCUCACGUGAGACGUCACAUAUUUACCAGAUCGUUGUGAGUCAUUAGAUAAAAUUCCAAUUGCAACAAAAUGUAAAUACCAUGCCCCCAUCAGGGCAUCUGGGUCAUUUCGUGUACUGGCUAUAAAAUGACCGUGACUUCCUAUGAUGAAAACCUAGCGGCCGCCUCCUCUCCCACUCGCUCCUGUAGCUGCCUCCCUCCCUCCCUCCCAUGCAGGUGGCUCCCACCAACCAUGGCAACGGCGGGCAGUGGCCAUGGAGGAGGGUGGCAGAUCAGCGGCACCGGCGAUGGCGUCUGUGGCAGCUAUGCAAUGAACCCUGAACCACUUUUAUUUGUAUUUAAAGGUGUGUUGCUUAUUUAUGCUCAAGUGGUGUUCGUGCUAGGGCGAUGAUGAUUACCUUGGCUUGAAUUAGUGUGCCUUUGAGUAAUCGAGGCACCUGUGGGUAUCAAGUUGGAUCCUCCCUCUUGUCUCUAGAAUCCUUUUUGAUCCUGUGAUACUUGUUGUUGUCCUUG